Molecule: long non-coding RNA, 404 nt
Organism: Stegodyphus dumicola
Lineage: Eukaryota; Metazoa; Arthropoda; Arachnida; Araneae; Eresidae
Source: RefSeq, a predicted model, not a curated record
UCUCUAGGGAACACUCAUAUUUGUUGACUUCAAAUGCAACGAGUUUAACUGAAGAACAAUGGAUUUUUUAAACCAGAUGCCGGAAUCUAGAGGUUUGGCGACAUUUAUCGCCCUGGCAACCGUUCUCCGACGAAGUGUUCCCUGAAGAGGUAGGCGUGGUCAGAACCAGGUGCGAGCGUCUGUUAGCCUGGCCGCAGAUCCACGUGGUUGAGCCGAACGGAGCGGAGGCCAUGUUUGGCAGGAUGUGUGUUGUCAUCGCUUUUUCGACGGAUUAUUAUUUUUCUUUUUUGUUGUGGCAUCGGCGAGAGUUCCACGAGCGCUCGCCGCAUUUGUUUGAAUUCAAGAGACAAUAGGUAUUUUUUGGAAGCAGGAAAGAUGAAAAAUUAGCAAGCACCUUCGCGGGG